CUUAACUUAAAGCUGUAAAUGCUUUAUUUUGACCAACUGUGAGCAUGUGACUGUACUUUUUCAUUUUGUUAUGCUGUUUUGUUGAGGUCGUGUUCCUAAGGCCUGUAGUUACAGUUGGUGCUAUUAGCAAUAAACAUUUCACACCCAUCAUCAUGACAUCUGUUAACUUGUGAAUGUAACUGUCUUUAAAAAAAGGAAUCUUGCAGUGAAGAUCAUUCCCGGGCAGUGGUCAGAAAAAAAGAGCUUUGACUUGAAGGGUUUUCCAAGCCAAGACUAUGGAGUUGACUGUGGGAUCUUCAUGCUGAUGUCUGCUCUGUACGUGGCACUGGAUGCACCAUAUUGACUAUACUGUAUCAGACAUGCCCUACUUGUGUAAAUGGUGGUGCUUGCUGUUGAUGGAGAACUUUGAUCUCAGGAGCUCUGGCAAGCUAUUUGCACACUGGAGAGAGGAAGCCAAAGCUGUGCUUGAAGGACAACACGUGCCCAUUGUCAGACUGAAAAAGUUCCAGGAAGUCAGUCAUGAGCCAGCAGUUGUUGAAGAUCUGCGUCCUGCUGUGCAGUGGGCUGUCCAAAAUAAGGCACUUUUCCGUGGACACGUAACAAUGCCAAAAUAUCUGUCCUUAAAUCAAGGGGACCAGCAGAGGGUCUUAAGAGACAUGUCAGAGGAAGAAGACACUGGAGCAAGGGACUUGUUCCUCUUUGUUUUUCAGUUUGCAGAGGACAUGGAGCUCUUUUUGAAAGCAUGUGCUGAUGAGCAGGGGCUAAGGGUCA
Long non-coding RNA from Maylandia zebra (zebra mbuna), 771 nucleotides. RefSeq lists it as uncharacterized. The record is from RefSeq and is a predicted model, not a curated record. Lineage: Eukaryota; Metazoa; Chordata; Actinopteri; Cichliformes; Cichlidae.